GUGCCUGCUUUAGCGUCAUAUAGACUGAAAUUGGAAUAAUACAGAGAAGAUUAGCAUGGGCCCUGUGCAAAGAUGACACGCAAAUUCUUGAAGUGUUUCAUAUUAAA
Jaculus jaculus (lesser Egyptian jerboa) is the source of this 107-nucleotide small nuclear RNA. The record is from RefSeq and is a predicted model, not a curated record. Lineage: Eukaryota; Metazoa; Chordata; Mammalia; Rodentia; Dipodidae.